GAUGAAGAACGUAGCGAAAUGCGAUAAGUAGUGUGAAUUGCAGAAUUCAGUGAAUCAUCGAAUCUUUGAACGCACAUUGCGCCCCUUGGUAUUCCAUGGGGCAUGCCUGUUCGAGCGUCAUUUGUACCUUCAAGCUCUGCUUGGUGUUGGGUGUUUGUCUCGCCUCUGCGUGUAGACUCGCCUUAAAAUAAUUGGCAGCCGGCGUAUUGAUUUCGGAGCGCAGUACAUCUCGCGCUUUGCACUCAUAACGACAGCGUCCAAAAGUACAUUUUACACUCUUGACCUCGGAUCAGGUAGGGAUACCCGCUGAACUUAAGCAUAUCAAUAAGCGGAGGA
Molecule: unclassified non-coding RNA, 336 nt
Filed under: soil metagenome
Description: partial contains 5.8S ribosomal RNA, internal transcribed spacer 2, and large subunit ribosomal RNA
Rfam family: 5.8S ribosomal RNA (bases 1-120)
Source: RNAcentral